ACUCUCGGCAAUGGAUAUCUCGGCUCUCACAUCGAUGAAGAACGUAGCAAAAUGCGAUACUUGGUGUGAAUUGCAGAAUCCCGUGAACAAUCGAGUCUUUGAACGCAAGUUGCACCCCAAGCCUUCUGGCCGAGGGCACGUGUGCCUGGGUGUCACAAAUCGUCGUGUGUUACCGCACGCGGUUGGCCAAAAUCCGAGCUAAGGACGCCAGGAGCGUUCUUACAUGCGGUGGUGAAUUCAAUUCUCAUCAUAUAGUCAGACAUUCCGAUCCAAAAGCUAUUGAUGACCCAAAGUCCUCAACGCGACCCCAGGUCAGGCGGGAUCACAUGCUGAGUUUAAGCAUAUCAAUAAGCGGAGGAAAAGAAACUAACAAGGAUUCCCUUAGUAACGACGAGCGAACCGGGAAGAGCCCAGCUUGAAAAUCGGACGUCUUUGGCGUUCAAAUUGUAGUCUGGAGAAGCGUCCUCAGCGACGGACCGGGCGCCAGAGAGGGUGAGAGCCCCGUCGUGCCCGGACCCUGUCUCACCACGAGGCGCUGUCUACGAGUCGGGUUGUUUAGGAAUGCAGCCCCAAUCGGGCGGUAAAUUCCGUCAAAGGCUUAAUAUGAGCGAGAGAUCGAUAGCGAAAAAGUACCGCGAGGUAAAGAUGAAAAGGAAUUUGAAAAGAGUGUCAAAAAGUGCUUGAAAUUGUUGGGAGGGAAGCCGAUCGGGGCCGGUGUUUCGUCCCGAUCGGAUUCAGAACGGAGCAAUCCGGUCCACCGAUCGAUUCGGGCCGUGGACCAAUGCAGAUUAAGGUGGUGACCUAAGCCCGGGCUUUUGUUACGCCCGCGGAGACGUCACUGCCUUAAUCGUAGUUUGCAGCAUGCGCCUCACGGCGUGCCUCGACAUCUGUGUGCUCAGGGCGUCGGCCUGUGGGCUCCCCAUUCGACCUGUCUUGAAUCACGGACCAAGGAGUCUGACAUGUGUGCGAGUCAACGGGUUAGUAAACCUGUAAAGCGCAAGGAAGCUGAUUGACUGGAUCCCUCACGGGUGCACAGACGACCGACCUUGAUCUUCUGAGAAGGGUUCGAGUGUGAGCAUGCAUGUCGGGACCCGAAAGAUGGUGAACUAUGCUUGAGCGGGGCGAAGCCGAAGGAAACUCUGGUGGUGGCCCGCAGUGAUACUGACAUGCAAAUCGUUCGUCUGACUUGGGUAUAGGGGCGAAAGACUAAUCGAACCAUCUAGUAGCUGGUUCCCUCCGAAGUUUCCCUAAGGAUAGCUGGAGCUCGGAAACGAGUUCUAUCGGGUAAAGUCAAUGAUUAGAGGCAUCGGGGAUGCAAUUUCCUUGACCUAUUCUCAAACUUUAAAUAGGUAGGACGGGGUGGCUGCUUUGUUGAGCCAUCCCACGGAAUCGAGAGCUCCAAGUGGGCCAUUUUUGGUAAGCAGAACUGGCCAUGCGGGAUGAACCGAAAGCCGGGUUAUGGUGCCCAACUGCUCGCUAACCUAGAACCCACAAAGGGUGUUUGUCGAUUAAGACAGCAGGACGGUGGUCAUGGAAGUCGAAAUCUGCUAAGGAGUGUGUAACAACUCACCUGCCGAAUCAACUAGCCCCGAACAUGGAUGGCGCUGAAGCGCGCGACUAUACCCGGCCGUCGGGCAAGAGCCAGGCCUCGAUGAGAAGAGGGCGCGGCGGUCGCUGCAAAACUAGGGCGUGAGCCGGGUGGAGCGCCGUCGGUGCAGAUCUUGGUGGUAGUAGCAAUAUUCAAAUGAGAACUUUGAAGGCCGAAGAGGGGAAAGUUCCAUGUGAACGGCACUUGCACAUGGUUAGUCGAUCCUAAGAGUCGGGGAAACCCGUCUGAUAGCGCUUAUCGCGAACUUCGAAAGGGGAUCGGUUAAAAUUCCAGAACCGGGACGUGGCGGUUGACGGCUACGUUAGGAAGUCCAGAGACGUCGGCGGGAAUUCCGGAAAGAGUUAUCUUUCUGUUUAACAGCCUGCCACCAUGGAAACGGCUCAGCCGGAGGUAGGGUCCAGCGGCUGGAGAGCACCGACGUGCUGUUGUCCGGUGCAUUCCCGCGCCCCUGAAAAUCGGAGGACCGAGUGCGCUCACGCCCGGUCGUACUCAUAACCGCAUCAGGUCUCCAAGGUGAACAGCCUUUGGUCGAUGGAACAAUGUAGGCAAGGGAAGUCGGCAAAUGGAUCCGUAACUUCGGGAAAGGAUUGGCUCUGAGGCUGGGCUCGGGGGUCCCAGUCCGAACCCGUCGACUGUUGGCGGGCUGCUUGAGCUCGCUAACGUGUUGGCCAGGGAUGGACUGGGAACGGUCUUUCGGAUCUUUCCCGGGCGCGAACAGCCAACUCAGAACUGUACGGACAAGGGGAAUGAUGUUUAAUUAAAACAAGCAUUGUGAUGGUCCCUGCGGAGAUGAUCUCUCUCUUUUNNNNNNNNNNNNNNNNNNNNNNNNNAGGUUGUGGUUAGAUAGGUAUUCUGGAAUCUAUCUUUGGUUGAUUGCAUGCUUGGAUGAUUAUUGCUAUUGCGUUAUUGUAUGUUUGCAUGCAGGGAUUGUGAUGAUGUUAUUGGUUAGUACUAUGGAAUUUAGGUCAUAUAGACCGAAUUUCAAGUAUGUAUUAUUAUGGUUAGUUAGUAGAGGAUCGGGAUCUAGGCCAUAUAGGCUGAGUUCUAGUUAGUGUUGUACUUAGCGUCCUAGGCCAUAUAGGCAGGACUAUGGUACUAUGUUUGUAUCGAGCUUUGUCGAUAGCUUCCUGAUCAGCAAUGCUAGGAUGUUACGCGGCAAGGAAGGUUACGUAAGCAUGUCCCUACGCGGCUUGGCAGAGAGGUUGCAUAAAGAUGCUCUGUACGGGAGGUUGCUAGAAAGCAUGCUCGUAUGUUGUAUCCUUGGUGGUGCUUCAUGUUAGUUUGCGGAAGGAAGGUUGCUAGAGUAUGUCCCUACGGGCUGGGCAGAGAGGUUGCAUAAAGCAUGCUCUGUACGGAGAGGUUGCUAGAAAGCAUGCUCUGUCAUUUGAUACCUUAUCGGGGUUACAUGUCAGUUAUGUUGGAUGUUCUAACCCGUGUGCUUUUGUGGCUGCGAGUUAGGUGUUCCAUGGUUGUGUAUAUGAUGAAAAAGCUCGAGUGAGGAUGUGUAGUGAAGGUGUAGAGAGUUAGCAUAUAUUAUAUUAUUAUGCUAAUGGUGGAUUAUAUUCUGCUUCUUAUCUUAUUUAUGUUUUGUUGAGUCACUCGGGUUUCACGGGGGAAGUCUCGAGUGAUGAUUAUUAUUGUUGUGUUAUUGUUAGGUGAACUCCUCGUCUUAGAUUGUUUGUGGUUGGGAUGGCGAGGGGUUGUAUUUGUUAGUUGGCCCUGGCUCACUAGUGACAUAGGUUACUCAUUAAACUCACCAUUGUUGCAGGAAACCUUAGUGGGAGAGCCGGGUAGCAUGGAAGCUGGACGUUAGGAGCACCGAAGUACUUUUGCCUUUCCUUUUGUAAAACGUACUAGUUAAAGUCUUUGACUCGAUAUUGGCACUA
RNAcentral lists this ribosomal RNA (3495 nucleotides) under Brassica rapa (field mustard). RNAcentral's name for it is "eukaryotic LSU rRNA". The stretch from base 303 to 2555 matches the Rfam family "Eukaryotic large subunit ribosomal RNA". Lineage: Eukaryota; Viridiplantae; Streptophyta; Magnoliopsida; Brassicales; Brassicaceae. The record is from RNAcentral.